CAGCAGCCGCGGUAAUACGUAGGGUGCGAGCGUUAAUCGGAAUUACUGGGCGUAAAGCGUGCGCAGGCGGUUGUGUAAGACAGGUGUGAAAUCCCCGGGCUUAGCCUGGGAACUGCGCUUGUGACUGCACAGCUAGAGUAUGGCAGAGGGGGGUGGAAUUCCACGUGUAGCAGUGAAAUGCGUAGAGAUGUGGAGGAACACCGAUGGCGAAGGCAGCCCCCUGGGCCAAUACUGACGCUCAUGCACGAAAGCGUGGGGAGCAAACAGGAUUAGAUACCCGCGUAGUCCCUGUCUCUUAUAC
RNAcentral lists this ribosomal RNA (301 nucleotides) under uncultured bacterium. Its description in RNAcentral is "partial 16S ribosomal RNA". It matches the Rfam family "Bacterial small subunit ribosomal RNA", at positions 509 to 807 of the family's 1533-position model. The record is from RNAcentral.